AAUUUCAUAUUUCCAUAAGUCUGUCCGUUGCAAGAUGUAGUGUUGGUUUAAGGUCAGUUUUUUAAGGAAAACACAGCAUAACUCUACCCAUCCCAAUUUCCACAGUAAAACUUCUUUAAAAAGUGCAUCUUGGGAGUUCCCGUCGUGGUGCAGUGGUUAACAAAUCCUACUAGGAACCAUGAGGUUGCCGGUUCGAUCCCUGGCCUCGCUCAGUGGGUUAAGGAUCUAGCGUUGCCGUGAGCUGUGGUGUAGGUUGCAGGCGCGGCUCGGAUCCCGCGUUGCUGUGGCUCUGGUGUAGGCCAGCCAGUGGCUAGAGAACCGAUGAGCCCCCUAGCCUGGGAACGUCCAUAUGCCGCGGGAGCGGCCCAAGAAAUAGCAAAAAGACAAAAAAAAAAAAAAGUGCAUCUUGUAUUUGAGGCAAUACUAUAAUAUUACACUCAAAUGCAAUUUAAAAACUCAUGGCUAGAAAUGUAUAUAGAUUAAAAUGUAAGUGAUUUAGCUUACUUAAAAACAUCUCAUCAGCUUAGGGUCUUAGUCAAAUCAAAGAAUCUGGGUUGACUUUGUAAUGGCUUAAUGAUCUAAAGAUGUAUUUUUAAAGUGUUUCAUGUUUUUAUGGCCCAAUGGGACUAUUCAUAGUUCUGUGUUUUCCUGAAGAAUGGAGUUAGGCUUCCCCUUGUAAUUCUUUUAAGAUCUAAGCAAUAACUGAGGUUGUGAAUAUUUCAGUAACUACAACAAAGCUUUGCAGCAAAGAUGACAUCAUAAACUAUGGCUAUAGUUCAUAUUCUUUGGAAGGAAGGAUAAGUCUUUGAACUUGGAUGAGAGAUCUUUAAAAGAAGAGAAAUCUUUUAGCUUCCAUAGACAAUAUUUUACGAGAGUCCAAAGGCAGAUGAGAAAUGGCUCCUUAGGUACUAGGUGGCACUUUCUCCCUCCUAACUUCACAGGGAUGGGGUUGAUCAGAGAAUCAGGUCCUCUGUUAUAACUGAUAGAAUCAAUCCCCACUCUAAGUCAUAGGUCUAAACAUGAAUAUAAAAUGUAAUAUUAACUGUUGAGUUCUCUGUGCUAAGCUCCAUGCUAAGUGUUUGGAAUCUGUUAGCUAAUUUAAGCCUGGCUAACUGUCCUAUAGAUUAUCACCUUUACAUAUUAGGAAUGGGAGAAUAAAAGGUUGAUUUUCCGAGGUCACACCUGGUAGGUUGAGUUAUGACUCAGCCCAGGCCUGUCUGAUUCUUAAGCCUGUACCUUUGACCUCUAGGCUGUGGCUUUUGGCCCUUCUUCUGGACUCACUCAUUCAGACUUUCAGCAUUUCAUCCUGCCUGAAAUCACUUUGAGCUGAAGACAACAGUAAAUGUCUAUAGUAUUAGCAUAAAAAUCUCCACCAUCUCACCCUUUUAAUAUACGAAAGAUUUUUAAGAAAAGAAAAAGAACUCUGCCUUAUUCUAUAGUACAACAUAAAGGGAAAUUAUUUUGACAGUUCACUAGUUUUAACUUUCACCUGUCAAGCAGUUGAGAGUUAAGGUUUUAAACUGCCUGUCUUUAUCAGUAAAGUUACCCUCUAUAAACACUACCAAAGAGGAUUCUAUAUGAUCUCGGUCAAGGUGGUUGACAACAGUGAGGCAAAAUAGUGACUAGAUAACUGAGUAAAUUGGGUUUGAGGGAAAAAAAAAAUUCUCAGUCUUCCAUUAGAUGUAAAAGAUAGAUUUUUGUGAGGGAAAAUGCUGGAUUAUUCUGAAUGUUUAUACAUUCCAGGUCCCUCAUGUCAUAAAACAACAUUCUUCAUUUGGCCCGCUCAGUAAUCCAUUCACUUUAAUGAGUUUUGUUAUCAGGAAGGGCUUUUUAACUAACCUAAACUCCGGCCUGCAGUUAAGCAUGCUUUCUAUAGCAGUUAACAGUUUAUAUGUAUAUAACUUUUCAAAAAUCUCAUAUCCAGAGACAUUUUUAUAUGCCUCUAAAUUCUCAGUCUUCCGAGAACUGUAUAUUCCAUUUCCUUGACCUCUGUUGCCAUUCUAUUAGUCUGUGGGAAUGAAGAGGUUUAUGCAUAUGAAAUGGAAUAUGCAUGUAAUAGGAUGCCUUAUAAGCUUAUUUUCUAAGGAGUAGAAAGAGGCAAGUUAACUCUAAAGUUUCUUGCGUUAAGUGUGCAUUGUGAUAGUUUUAUAUUUUCAUUGCAAUGAAAACAAAGUCAGCUUUUCUCAUGCGGAAGAAAAACAGUUUUGCAAAGAAUGGCUAUUAUUCGUAAUGUUUCACUUGUGUAAGUGGGGUGAUAAAUUUUAUAUUGCUCAUAAAGUCCUAAAACAACUGAGAAUCUUGAGUUAACCCCUCCUUUCCUGAUCAUAAAUUACCAAGUUGAAUAUUAUUUACGGUACUAUAAAAGUAUAAAGCUCUGCUUCCUAGAUCACUCAUUGCUGCUUCUCUUCUUUUCUUUUCUUUUUUUUUUUUUUUUUUUUAACCUUUGUCAUUAAUUGCAGAGACCCUAAAGACUUUCUUUUUUCUUCACCAAAAACAACAGGCACCAGAGCUUUGUGUAACUCUGUUUGUGUAGCCUUUCUCCUGGGCCAGCCAUAGCUGGCCUCUUCCCACAUCCUAGCCAGUCUGUCUCAGCACAGCGGCUUUAAAUAGGCUUCUCUUGGGGUCUGGCAAGAUGAUGGAGGCGUGUUCGCUGUCAGGAGGGCAAAACAUAGAGGCACACAGACCACAUUUUAUUGUCAUCAUAACACAUUUCUCUGUCACAGUCGCCAGCCACCUCCUAAACAGGAACUAUGCCAGUCACUUUUUUGUCUCACAAGCAGCCACUGUUAAAUUUAUUUUGUUAUUUUGACAUAUUUCUGACGGCAGAAAGAUAAGCAUAGCAUAGUGCAAAUGGUCAAGUGUGGUGACAUCAAAACCCACAUACAGCCUGGUGACCCUCAGACAAGGGUAUAGUCAAGCUCAGUGGGCAAGUGUUGCCUAUGGUGACAAACAUCCUUUUUACUGCUAGUACAAGGAGGCUGGAGGGGUUGUUGUGUCCCCUUUCAAGGUUCAGAAAGCCCCCCAAAAGAUAUCCAUGAGUCCACGACUGCUGAACCAUUAGGCAGGCUCAAGGCAUAUGUGUUACACCAAGAGAACAGGCUUAAACAUCAAGUACCAUCUGACCAUGACUAUCAUGGGAAGAGGUCUUAGCAAUAAACCUAUGAAUUAUCUGGCCCACACUUAACCAGUUCUCACAGCACAGCUACCCCUUUGAUGUAACUGUCAAACCCCAAGCAUGCCCAACAGUAGGAGCCACAGACAAAACAACACAGGAGCAGUGAAUGACUCAAUGUAAAUGCAUUUAGCCACUUCUCCAGACACCAAAGUCCAGCAGGCAGUGUACUUGCUUUGGGUAUUAGGAGCCUGAGACAGAAGGAGAAACAAAGUUCACCAUUGUUUUUUUUCAGGACAGGAGGAGUGAGAGAAGUGUAAAAGUUAUUUAAUUGCUCCUUUUAAAUGUGUGGCUUAGGAGUCAAAGUCUGUAGGUAUAUCCACGGCUGACACAGGAGAGACAUAUGAACAAGGAGGUGGUUUGCUGAACAAUUGUGCCACUUUAUAGUCCUAUCCAGGACACUGCAUAUUUAACUAGUUAAAUCAGGUCUAUUAAGCAGUUUUGUUUAAGAUGUGGGAGCCUAUUAAAAAUUUUGGUCCUUAUUCAGAUCAUUUAUAAAUAAUUUGAAAUCUCUAUUUAUAAUUCUAGUGAAUUUCUCUCUAGUCUAUCAAUAUUGAUAAGUCAUUUUAAAAUCCUAACUCUUCAGUGAGUAAAAUACAUAGUAUAAUGACUAAAAGGACAAGUUCUGAAAUCAGACGGACCUGGAUACAUCUUGAGCUAUAGUAACUGGGUGAUGUUGGACAAAUAACUGUAUCUGCAAAAGCUUUGUUUUUCUCAUCAGUAAAGUAGGAUUUAAAAAGCAACACCUGGAGUUCCCAUUGUGGCUCAGUGGAAACAAAUCUGACUAGUAUCCAUGAGGAAGCAGGUUGGAUUCCUGGCCUCAGUGGGUUAAGGAUCUGGCAUUGCCAUGAGCUGUGGUGUAGGUCACAGAUGUGGCUCAGAUCCCACAUUGCUGUGGCUGUGGCUGUGGCUGUGGCUAUGGCCGGCAGCUCCAGCUCCGAUUCUACCCCUAGCCUGGGAACCUCCAUGUGCCAUGGGUGC
Molecule: long non-coding RNA, 4153 nt
Filed under: Sus scrofa (pig)
Lineage: Eukaryota; Metazoa; Chordata; Mammalia; Artiodactyla; Suidae
Description: lncRNA (ENSSSCG00015004745.1)
Source: RNAcentral